This 301-nucleotide ribosomal RNA is filed under the name uncultured bacterium. RNAcentral describes it as "partial 16S ribosomal RNA". It matches the Rfam family "Bacterial small subunit ribosomal RNA", at positions 509 to 807 of the family's 1533-position model. The record is from RNAcentral.
CAGUCGCCACGGUAAUACGUAGGGUGCAAGCGUUAAUCGGAAUUACUGGGCGUAAAGCGUGCGCAGGCGGUUCGGAAAGAAAGAUGUGAAAUCCCAGAGCUUAACUUUGGAACUGCAUUUUUAACUACCGGGCUAGAGUGUGUCAGAGGGAGUUGGAAUUCCGCGUGUAGCAGUGAAAUGCGUAGAUAUGCGGAGGAACACCGAUGGCGAAGGCAGCCUCCUGGGAUAACACUGACGCUCAUGCACGAAAGCGUGGGGAGCAAACAGGAUUAGAUACCCGCGUAGUCCCUGUCUCUUAUAC